This 339-nucleotide ribosomal RNA is filed under the name Triticum aestivum (bread wheat). RNAcentral describes it as "partial small subunit ribosomal RNA". The record is from RNAcentral. Lineage: Eukaryota; Viridiplantae; Streptophyta; Magnoliopsida; Poales; Poaceae.
AUGUUCAUUGAUGUAAUAAUCGAGGAUAAUAAUAAUAAUCUGAGUUGGCGCUUGAUUGGGAUGUAUGGUGAAUUCAGGUGGGCGAAUAAACAUCUAACCUGGUCACAUAUGCGGCAACUCCAUCAGGGUCAGUCCUUACCGUGGCUCCUGAUUGGCGACCGCAAUGAAAUUCAGUUUUUCUAUGAGAAGGAAGGGGGCAACCCGCGGCCGGUUCAAUAUAUGCAAGCUUUUCAAGAGGCAAUUGACGACUGCGAGUUGCACGGCAUGGGGUUCCUUGGAGACCAUUACUUGGCGCCGUGGAAGGAUAAGAGAAAGGCUAGGCAGGGGAUUAGUGAAUGA